GACGAACGCUGGCGGCGUGCCUAAUACAUGCAAGUCGAACGCUUCUUUCCUCCCGAGUGCUUGCACUCAAUUGGAAAGAGGAGUGGCGGACGGGUGAGUAACACGUGGGUAACCUACCCAUCAGAGGGGGAUGACACUUGGAAACAGGUGCUAAUACCGCAUAACAGUUUAUGCCGCAUGGCAUAAGAGUGAAAGGCGCUUUCGGGUGUCGCUGAUGGAUGGACCCGCGGUGCAUUAGCUAGUUGGUGAGGUAACGGCUCACCAAGGCCACGAUGCAUAGCCGAGCUGAGAGGGUGAUCGGCCACACUGAGACUGAGACACGGCCCAGAGUCCUACGGGAGGGAGCAGUAGGGAAUCUUCGGCAAUGGACGAAAGUCUGACCGAGCAACGCAGCGUGAGUGAAGAAGGUUUUCGGAUCGUAAAACUCUGUUGUUAGAGAAGAACAAGGACGUUAGUAACUGAACGUCCCCUGACGGUAUCUAACCAGAAAGCCACGGCUAACUACGUG
Molecule: ribosomal RNA, 508 nt
Filed under: uncultured bacterium
Lineage: Bacteria
Description: partial 16S ribosomal RNA
Rfam family: Bacterial small subunit ribosomal RNA
Source: RNAcentral